UGGGGAAUAUUGGACAAUGGGGGCAACCCUGAUCCAGCAAUGCCGCGUGUGUGAAGAAGGUCUUCGGAUUGUAAAGCACUUUCGACGGGGACGAUGAUGACGGUACCCGUAGAAGAAGCCCCGGCUAACUUCGUGCCAGCAGCCGCGGUAAUACGAAGGGGGCUAGCGUUGCUCGGAAUGACUGGGCGUAAAGGGCGUGUAGGCGGUUUACACAGUCAGAUGUGAAAUCCCCGGGCUUAACCUGGGAGCUGCAUUUGAUACGUGUAGACUAGAGUGUGAGAGAGGGUUGUGGAAUUCCCAGUGUAGAGGUGAAAUUCGUAGAUAUUGGGAAGAACACCGGUGGCGAAGGCGGCAACCUGGCUCAUGACUGACGCUGAGGCGCGAAAGCGUGGGGAGCAAACAGGUUAGAUACCCUGGUAGUCCACGCUGUAAAACGAUGUGUGCUAGAUGU
RNAcentral lists this ribosomal RNA (451 nucleotides) under uncultured bacterium. RNAcentral describes it as "partial 16S ribosomal RNA". It matches the Rfam family "Bacterial small subunit ribosomal RNA", at positions 355 to 823 of the family's 1533-position model. The record is from RNAcentral.